UCCCGCUUAGCUCAGUGGUAGAGCGCGUCACUAGUAAGCGCUGCUUACGUAAUGACGAGGCCGCUUGUUCGAAUCAGGCAGUGGGAA
Molecule: non-coding RNA, 87 nt
Organism: Ceratobasidium sp. 394
Lineage: Eukaryota; Fungi; Basidiomycota; Agaricomycetes; Cantharellales; Ceratobasidiaceae
Source: the annotation of a GenBank genome assembly